This is a long non-coding RNA of Eucalyptus grandis, 1077 nucleotides long. RefSeq lists it as uncharacterized. Lineage: Eukaryota; Viridiplantae; Streptophyta; Magnoliopsida; Myrtales; Myrtaceae. The record is from RefSeq and is a predicted model, not a curated record. The transcript is spliced from 2 exons.
GCCACUCCAUGGAUAAAACUGUACAGUUGACCCCCUGUUUCUCGGCUGCUUAUUGGAGGGCUGUGAUGUCCACAUUUAAAGAAGUACAGAUCCGAAUCUGCAAAUUUGGUCCAUGCUAGAAUCAGUGGCUACUGAUUUACUAUUGUCUCUUGCACUUUAUAUAAGUAGAAUAAGUUGCUCUUGCUCUCGUUUGUUUGACUCUAGUAAUCAAGGUCAGAUUUUUGUGUCUCGGCAACUGCCCAGUUGAAAAAGGCAAUUGAAAAAAUAACCUUGCGCAGGUUUUGGACAUCUUCCCUUAUCUUUUCUGAAUAGGUGAAGACUAACUAAGGUUCUUUGUUGCUGACCUGCCGGAUUUGUUUGUAUUCAAUGAGAGAUUACCUCAGUGUGAUUGAGAAAGCCCUGAUCAGUCCCUCCGGUCGAAGCUUUUGCAUUUAGUUGCACGCUUUGUGGGCUGUUUAUGGCCUUGUACGCGAAGCACAUGGAAUUCGCUAAAUCGAUCGCCUUAAUGGCACUGACACAGACCCAUUCAUUCCAACAUUUCGAUGGCGCUGCUGUGACUCGGGAAGCCAUCGAGAAGGAGGACAAAGUACAUAUCGUCGUGCAUGUGGUCGUCGUCGAUGGCGAGGGAGGAGAUUGGGCGGUCGAGGAAGGAGUCCGCGUGGCAUAGCAUCUUGUCCGGGAGCUCGAAUGUGAUCUUGCCAGCGACUUAGUUCCAUCGAGGCCCUCGUCGUUCGCUCCCAAAAGACGAACAAUCCUCUCUGCUCUCGCUCUCUCCCGCACACAUUUUCUUCGUCAUUGCUAGUGUGCGACUGUGUGAUGCUCUUGAUUCACUGUCAAUCCAUCGCAUGAGUUGCGCUAAUAUUCCGGUUCGAUGAUUUUUGUAGCUUGACCCACUAUUGUUGUUAACUUUGCAAUUAAGUUUCGUCUGAGAGGAGUAGGGAGGCUUCGAGAGCAGACUGUGUAAAACUCUUGCGAUGCAUCUGCCGAUUGUUGCCCCUUUCUAACUGAACAAGAUUGCAUCAAAGAAGGUGAAAAUAGUGGCUGAGUGAAACUCUUCAGCUUCACAUCUCGCUGCCA